Molecule: long non-coding RNA, 789 nt
Filed under: Orbicella faveolata
Lineage: Eukaryota; Metazoa; Cnidaria; Anthozoa; Scleractinia; Merulinidae
Description: uncharacterized LOC110069236, transcript variant X2
Source: RNAcentral
UUGAAAGGAAGAAUUCUCAAGAGUAUCAUCACAUGGUCUAAAAUGGGGCAACAAACCACCCAGUCGAAAAAGGUGUAUUAAUAUAAAUCCUCCGACGUUGACUCAAAAGGCAGUUGUCGAUUUACGUCACGGAAUAAGAAUUGGCGUGUUAUAUAUUGCGCAAAUGUAUAGAAAGUUAAUUACCAUUUGCUUAAUUAAGGCUAACAUUAUAAAAUGUACCCCCUAAUGCAGCAUUACCGGAAUACACUGUUCUUACAGAAUGCGGAGAGGCUGAAGCUAGGCAGGAAAUUGUUACGCAAAAGGACGUUUCACUUUCAACACGGCAUGAAUUGUUUACUGUGGUUACUAGUCUCAGUUGUUAUGACACAUGCCAAUCAGCAUUGUAAAGAGACCUUGUCAGCAAGAGGAAGUUACUUGAAGGGUCACGUGAUAUCAAGCGGAAAUGCAGUCAAUAUUGGCGAGUGUUUGGGCAAAUGUGCAAGAGAACUUCGGUGUAAGAGCAUCAACUUCCGGUUAGAAGGUUUGCUCUGUGAGUUGAAUGACGCCGAUUAAUCAACGCACCCGUGGGAUUAUGGACCAAGGCAAGGACAUGUAUACAGCGACUACCCUUACCAGACCUCCGAGUAUCAGUCAUGCGCAGAAAUAAAGUACGCCCAUAAAGAAGCAAAAAGCGGUCUUUACUGGAUCCCAGUGAAAAACAAAAUGGAGCAGGUCUAUUGUGACAUGGCAAUGUUGGACAACUAUGGAGUUGGAGUACAGUACCGCUCAUGCGCAGAAAUAAAUAACGCA